UAUACAUGCAGUGAUUUUAUUGCAGUAAGUCACCAGGACGCAUUCCUACUACUAGUUGCCAUAAUUCUGAUUCUGAUUCUGAUUCCUGUUCUUAUUCCUGUUCUUAUUCUUAUUCAUAUACUUAUUCUGAUUUAGUUACAACAUUCAUCAGUGGGCGGUGCCACUAGCAUUCCAUUCAACAGCCCCUUCCAGGACAGUGGAGACAAACGGCACAUGUGGCAGGGCAUACAGGCGAUCAUGAACUACAAGACAGCUUCACCUGCCUGUGAUAUUGAUGCCUCCGUCCCAGAUGCUCUGAAUGACUUCUACUGUAUGUGCAGUUUGAGGUGCAGAACCACGUAGCGGCAAGGAAGACCAUCCGUCCCCCCAAUGAUCAGGUACUCUGUCUAUCCACGGUUAACUUACGGAAGGCUGCUGGACCAGACAACAUUCUUUGCAGGGAAUGUGUAGAACAGCUAGCAGAUGUCUUCAUUGACAUAUUCAACAUUUCCCCGAGCAGCGCUGUUUUCCUAUGUGCCUCAAGACAACCACCAUCAUCCCCGUCCCAAAAAAGUCUACAGUGUCCUGCCUCAAUGACUAUUGUCCCGUCACACUCACACCCAUUGUAAUGAAGUGCUUCGAGAAGCUCUUCAUGAAGCACAUCAAGACUCAGUUACAAUCCUCAGUGAAACCCCUACAGUUUGCAAAUCGUUUAAACCGCUCUACGGAUGAUGCCAUUGCCACGGCCCUUCAUUUAGGCCUCACCCACCUGGACAAUAAAGACACUUAAGUACAAAUGCUGUUCAUAGACUUUAGUUCUGCAUUCAACACAAUCAUCCUUCAUCACCUGAUUGGGAAACUGAGCCUGCUGGGACUGAACACCUCCCUCUGCAACUGGAUCCUGGACUUCCUGACUGGGAGACAUCAGUCAGUCUGGAUCAGGAACAGCAUCUCCAGCACCACCACACUGAGUACUGGAGCCCCUCACGGCUGCAUGCUCAGUCCACUGCUGUUCACCUUGCUGACUCACGACUGUACAGCAAUGCACAGUUCAAACCAUUUCAUCAAGUUUGCCGAUGACAUGACCGUUGUGUCUCAUCAGCAAGAAUGUGGAAUCAGCAUACAGAUAGGAGGUGCAACAACCUGGUGUAGAGCCAAUAACCUCUGAACCUUAAUCUCUGAAUGCUGAUAAUACUAAAAAGAUGGUUGAGACCACAGAGUGACCAGUCUCCGCUGAACAUUGACGGAUUACCUGUAGAGACCGUCAAAAGAAGCACCAAAUUUCUUGUCGUUCAUCUAGCGAAGAACUUCUGAACACCAGCUUCAUCACCAGGAAAGCUAAGCAGCAUCUCUACUUCUUAUGAAGGAUGAGAAAGGCACAUUUCCCUCCCCCCAUCCUGACUACGUUCUGCAUAGGGACCAUUGAGAGCAUCCUGAGCAGCUGCAUCACUGUCUGGUUUGGGAACUGCACCAUCUCGGAUUGCAAGACCCUGCAACGGAUAGUGAGGACACCUGAGAUCAUUGGAGUCUCUCUUCCCUUUAUCAUGGACAUUUACACCACACGCUGCAUCUGCAAGGCCAACAGCAUUGUGGAUGACCCCACACACUCAUUACACUCAUCAUUUGCACUCAUUACAAUACCUCAUGUAACUGCUGCUAUAAUAUUAAUGUGUUCAGUCCAGUAUUUCCACACCCCCCAGAUUGUUUGAACAUACAGUAUUUACACUGGUCGGUGCUCUUUUUGUUUAUUGUCUGUUGUGUAUUGUCUUUUUUGUAUUGUCUUGUAUUUUUUGUUUGCACUGUCUUUCUGUCUUUUUGUCUUUUGUCCUGCAGGUUGCACAGUUGCACUUUAUGUAUCUAGAUUAGAUUAAAUUAGAUUAGAUUCAACUUUACUGUCAUUACACAAGUACAAGUACAAGACAAUUAAUUGCAGUUUAGGUCUAACCAGAGUGCAAUAGCAGUAAAUGCAGGAUAUACAGGUUUUUUUUUUUACAAGAGUUAAAUAAGUUAAAUAAAGUGGUAAUAUGGAAGUGA
This is a long non-coding RNA of Tachysurus fulvidraco (yellow catfish), 2013 nucleotides long. RefSeq lists it as uncharacterized. The transcript has 2 exons. The record is from RefSeq and is a predicted model, not a curated record. NCBI's taxonomy places the organism in Eukaryota, Metazoa, Chordata, Actinopteri, Siluriformes, Bagridae.